Macrobrachium nipponense is the source of this 615-nucleotide long non-coding RNA. RefSeq lists it as uncharacterized. The record is from RefSeq and is a predicted model, not a curated record. NCBI's taxonomy places the organism in Eukaryota, Metazoa, Arthropoda, Malacostraca, Decapoda, Palaemonidae. The transcript is spliced from 6 exons.
UGUAUGAGGACAUCUUCAAGUAAGGGUGACAUGUUUCUCGGGUAUAGUGCAAAUGUUGUAAACAUUGCCAACAUAUUAGAUAAGGGCUUAGGCUAAACGUAUAAUAUUUGUAUUUUCAUUGUAGCUUGCAAAGAACCAUAUCGAGUAAGUUUACUCAAAACUUUUUUUCAGAAUCUGACAGCUCCUACCUUGAGCUGGUGUUCUGCUUAAUCUGGUAUGUAGCACCUGUGGGAGACCAGCGGUUAAACGGGAAGGUCGUCCUAGACAAUAGAAUAAUCAGAGCCAGGUGGCAAAGUUCAGGUUUCAUUUCUGUGUGAGGACAUCUUCAAGUAAGGGUGACAUGUUUCUCAGCUUGCAAAAAACCACAUUGAGUAAGUAUACGCAAAACACUUUUUUCAGAAUCUGACAGCUCCUACCUUGAGCUGGUAUUCUGCUUAAUCUGGUAUGUAGCACCUGUGGGAGACCAGCGGAUAAACGGGAAGGUCGUCCUAGGCAAUAGAAUAAUCAGAGCCAGGUGGCAACAAUGAUGGUGGAACUGAUAUUGGGUGAGAGUUCGGGCCUUACUGUCUUGGACCAUGGGCUCGUUAUGAGGCAUGUAAGGAGGCAACUGCCAGG